Molecule: long non-coding RNA, 419 nt
Organism: Anoplopoma fimbria (sablefish)
Lineage: Eukaryota; Metazoa; Chordata; Actinopteri; Perciformes; Anoplopomatidae
Exons: 4
Source: RefSeq, a predicted model, not a curated record
AGUGAAAGUGAAAGUGUUUUCUGCUGGUAUAAAUAUCUGUAUAGUCACUGCGUGCUGAGGUAUAAACUGCUCUGUUUAGUCUCUGGACUCACAUUCUGCCUUUGACUUCGUCUUCAAGUUCAACAACAGAUAUGGGAGGAUCCUCCAGCUCACCCCCUCCACCCUCUCCAUUUUUCAGUGACCCAUGGAGGACAAUAAACUGGGGAGACAAACAGAGCGCUCUGCAGUAUGUAAAGGACUAUGAACCUCGGACUGAAGGCCGGCAGCUCAGGAUUCUUCUUCAUGGACCGGUUGGAGCUGGAAAGUCCAGUUUCAUCAACUCCGUUGAAAGUGUCUUAAGAGGCAGAAUGUGCACCAAGGCUUUGGCGGACAAUUCCUCUGGCCACAGUUUUACCAAAGAGGUAUGAAGACAUUUUGAU